GUCGACGAUGAAUCUUCUAGCUUGCUAGAAGUGGAUUAGUGGCGCACGGGUGAGUAAUGCAUAGGUUAUGUGCCCUUUAGUCUGGGAUAGCCACUGGAAACGGUGAUUAAUACUGGAUACUCCCUACGGGGGAAAGUUUUUCGCUAAAGGAUCAGCCUAUGUCCUAUCAGCUUGUUGGUGAGGUAAUGGCUCACCAAGGCUAUGACGGGUAUCCGGCCUGAGAGGGUGAUCGGACACACUGGAACUGAGACACGGUCCAGACUCCUACGGGAGGCAGCAGUAGGGAAUAUUGCUCAAUGGGGGAAACCCUGAAGCAGCAACGCCGCGUGGAGGAUGAAGGUUUUAGGAUUGUAAACUCCUUUUGUUAGAGAAGAUUAUGACGGUAUCUAACGAAUAAGCACCGGCUAACUCCGUGCCAGCAGCCGCGGUAAUACGGAGGAUGCAAGCGUUACUCGGAAUCACUGGGCGUAAAGGGUGCGUAGGCGGGGUAAUAAGUCAGAUGUGAAAUCCUGUAGCUUAACUACAGAACUGCAUUUGAAACUGUUACUCUGGAGUGUGGGAGAGGUAGGUGGAAUUCUUGGUGUAGGGGUAAAAUCCGUAGAGAUCAAGAGGAAUACUCAUUGCGAAGGCGACCUGCUGGAACAUUACUGACGCUGAUGCACGAAAGCGUGGGGAGCAAACAGGAUUAGAUACCCUGGUAGUCCACGCCCUAAACGAUGGAUGCUAGUUGUUGCCUUGCUUGUCAGGGCAGUAAUGCAGCUAACGCAUUAAGCAUCCCGCCUGGGGAGUACGGUCGCAAGAUUAAAACUCAAAGGAAUAGACGGGGACCCGCACAAGCGGUGGAGCAUGUGGUUUAAU
This 858-nucleotide ribosomal RNA is filed under the name uncultured bacterium. RNAcentral describes it as "bacterial SSU rRNA". It matches the Rfam family "Bacterial small subunit ribosomal RNA", at positions 61 to 950 of the family's 1533-position model. The record is from RNAcentral.